This is a non-coding RNA of Penaeus vannamei (Pacific white shrimp), 467 nucleotides long. Lineage: Eukaryota; Metazoa; Arthropoda; Malacostraca; Decapoda; Penaeidae. The record is from RefSeq and is a predicted model, not a curated record.
UCGACAGUUGAUUGUGCUGCUGUGAAAUGCUUCGGUCCUCCCCUGGUUGAAGGCUGCACAGCAAAGGGAUCUCCGGGAUCUUGCUGCCCUAAAUGGAGGUGCAAGCCUGUGUGUGAUGAUGGGACCAAGUGUAAGCCUUUUACCUUCCCCGACUGCCAACCUGUGUUUACUAACGAGACCUGUUGCCCAUCCUGCAGAGGCUACAAUUAAAUGAAGGAGCCGACACCAUGGUUGCGAGUGUCAAGGAAGCAUCAGGAGAAAUGACUUUGAAAAAUGAAAAAAACAUUAGAUUUAAAGUGCAAAAAAUACAAUAUUUAAUCUAGUUUUGCUGAUAGCCAUUUUAACACAGAGUUUUUUGUUUUUGUUUUUUCAAAAUGUAAAUGUAAAUCUGAUUUUAAUUGGAUCAUUAUAGCACUGUGUUUUUGAUUGGUUUUCAUUGGUUUAAUUUCAAUGAAUCUAAACGUAUC